Molecule: transfer RNA, 85 nt
Rfam family: tRNA
About the family: Transfer RNA (tRNA) molecules are approximately 80 nucleotides in length.
Source: Rfam
GGCUGCGUGGCCCAGUGGUUAAGGCAUCUGCUUUACAGUAUCGCCGUAUCGCAGAGGAUCGCAGGUUCGAGCCCUGCCGCGGUCA